This 602-nucleotide ribosomal RNA is filed under the name uncultured bacterium. RNAcentral describes it as "bacterial SSU rRNA". The stretch from base 1 to 513 matches the Rfam family "Bacterial small subunit ribosomal RNA", at positions 338 to 873 of the family's 1533-position model. The record is from RNAcentral.
CCUACGGGAGGCAGCAGUGGGGAAUCUUGCGCAAUGGGCGAAAGCCUGACGCAGCCAUGCCGCGUGAAUGAUGAAGGUCUUAGGAUUGUAAAAUUCUUUCACCGGGGACGAUAAUGACGGUACCCGGAGAAGAAGCCCCGGCUAACUUCGUGCCAGCAGCCGCGGUAAUACGAAGGGGGCUAGCGUUGCUCGGAAUUACUGGGCGUAAAGGGAGCGUAGGCGGAUAGUUUAGUCAGAGGUGAAAGCCCAGGGCUCAACCUUGGAAUUGCCUUUGAUACUGGCUAUCUUGAGUACGGAAGAGGUAUGUGGAACUCCGAGUGUAGAGGUGAAAUUCGUAGAUAUUCGGAAGAACACCAGUGGCGAAGGCGACAUACUGGUCCGUUACUGACGCUGAGGCUCGAAAGCGUGGGGAGCAAACAGGAUUAGAUACCCUGGUAGUCCACGCUGUAAACGAUGAGUGCUAGUUGUCGGCAGCAUGCUGUCGUGACGCAGCUACGACAUAGACACUCCGCCGUCGGGAGGUACGGUCGCGAGAGUUAAACGUUAAAGGUAAAGUUAGUUACGGCGUGAGACGUGCCGACGGACGACGACGAGGGAGGAGG